RNAcentral lists this ribosomal RNA (438 nucleotides) under uncultured bacterium. RNAcentral's name for it is "bacterial SSU rRNA". It matches the Rfam family "Bacterial small subunit ribosomal RNA", at positions 958 to 1398 of the family's 1533-position model. The record is from RNAcentral.
AACGCGAAGAACCUUACCUGGGCUUGACAUGUUCCUGACCGCCAUGGAAACAUGGUUUCCCUUCGGGGCAGGAUCACAGGUGGUGCAUGGCUGUCGUCAGCUCGUGUCGUGAGAUGUUGGGUUAAGUCCCGCAACGAGCGCAACCCCCGUCGUAUGUUGCCAGCAUUUAGUUGGGGACUCAUGCGAGACCGCCGGUGACAAACCGGAGGAAGGUGGGGAUGACGUCAAGUCAUCAUGCCCCUUAUGCCCAGGGCUACACACGUGCUACAUUGGCGCGUACAGAGGGCUGCGAUACCGCGAGGUGGAGCGAAUCCCUCAAAGCGCGUCUCGGUUCGGAUUGGAGGCUGAAACUCGCCUCCAUGAAGGCGGAGUUGCUAGUAAUCGCGGAUCAGCACCGCCGCGGUGAAUACGUUCCCGGGCCUUGUACACACCGCUGUA